CUUGAGGCUUCAUGAUGCUCUAACUAAUCGUGCCAAAGAUCAUUCCCAUUUUCAAGUGGUGAUUGAAUUCUUGCAACAACUUGCUGCCAAGGACAAACAGAAUUCUUGCAUGGAUGACUCAAUUUGCUUGACAGGAGUCGAGGAAGAGAAGGAGGAGGAAGUAGCAAAAUCUGAGCAGGUAGAGGGAGGACAAAUUGAAGCUAUGGAACCGGAUGUUUCUGAAGGUGAGAUUCCCUUGAAGUCUUCUGAUAGUGAGGAUGCCUUGUGCGGAUGGAGUCAAUAUAAAAGUGAAUUAUAAUGUCGAAAGACAAAGAUGCUGACUUUUCUUGUUUCUAUUGAUUAGUCCUUUAUCAAAUUAAUCUGAAAUUUUGUCCUUCGUUUUUAAA
Camellia sinensis is the source of this 386-nucleotide non-coding RNA. Lineage: Eukaryota; Viridiplantae; Streptophyta; Magnoliopsida; Ericales; Theaceae. The record is from RefSeq and is a predicted model, not a curated record.